Molecule: ribosomal RNA, 639 nt
Filed under: uncultured bacterium
Lineage: Bacteria
Description: bacterial SSU rRNA
Rfam family: Bacterial small subunit ribosomal RNA
Source: RNAcentral
CAGGCCUAACACAUGCAAGUCGGACGAGGGACUCACCCUCGGGUGGGAACCUAGUGGCGAACGGGUGAGUAACACGUAGGAAUCUACCCAGUUGAUCGGCAUAACACUCUUAACGGAGUGCUAAUUCCGAAUAAGACCUAAGGGUGAAAGAGGGGGAUCUUUGGACCUCUCGCGAUUGGAGGAGCCUGCGGUGGAUUAGCUUGUUGGCGGGGUAAUGGCCCACCAAGGCGACGAUCCAUAGCUGGUUUGAGAGGAUGAUCAGCCACACUGGAACUGAGACACGGUCCAGACUAUUACGAUAGGCAGCAGUAGGGAAUCUUGCGCAAUGGGCGAAAGCUUGACGCAGCCAUGCCGCGUGUGCGACGAAGGCCUUUGGGUUGUAAAGCACUUUCAACGGCUAAGAGAGCCGGCGUGUUAAUAGCAUGCCGGGUAGACGUUAACCGUAAAAGAAGCACCGGCUAACUCCGUGCCAGCAGUCGCGGUAAUACGGAGGGUGCGAACGUUAAUCGGAAUUACUGGGCGUAAAGCGCACGUAGGCGGUUUGUUAAGUGGGAUGUGAAAGCCCCGGGCUUAACCUGGGAAUUGCAUUUCAAACUAGCAAACUAGAGUGUAGUAGAGGGGGGUGGAAUUCCUCGAGUA